This is a non-coding RNA of Ictidomys tridecemlineatus (thirteen-lined ground squirrel), 1488 nucleotides long. The record is from RefSeq and is a predicted model, not a curated record. NCBI's taxonomy places the organism in Eukaryota, Metazoa, Chordata, Mammalia, Rodentia, Sciuridae.
GCCAAUUAAAACAGAAAUGUACACUAAUUCAUUUGAUAAAAUAUUAUAUAGUCAUUAAAUGAAAGAUUUUCACAUAACUUUUUUUUCUAAAUAGGAAUAUCCUACAGGUAAUAGAAAAUCAGAAUAAAGAAGUAUAUGUUUUCUAAAAAGUACUAUAUGUGAACAGAAUAAGGAUCUAAAGGAAAACACCUCAAUGUUUAAUUGGAUGUUUCUAGAUUGUGACAUUAUUUUUUUUUAAUUCUCUAAAUUUUCUUCAUUGAACAAAUAAGCAUUUGGAAUCUUAAGAAUACAGUAGGCAAAAAGGAAGUGUGGCUUGUUCUGGAAGCUGAACUGGAUUCAUAGAAUAGCAAUUUCAGGGAACUUCAAGACACUAAGUCCAUCUAUUUAGUCGUCUGUCUCAGAAGAGAGGAGGGUAAGUUCCGAAGGGUAAGUUAGAAAUCCUCAGGUAACGAAAAAUUGAACAAAAUCAGUACAAAUGUCCCUUUUAGUUCUAGGUUUGAGCCAAGAAGUAUAAAAAAUUUCAUUUUAAUGGUUUAAGGUUAAUGGUUUUGACUUUCAUGUCAAUUAUUGAAAUAUUUUAAUCAUUAUUGUUAUUUUCUAUGCCGUGGAUAAAUUAUUGAAAUAUUUUAAUAAUUAUUGUUAUUUUCUAUGCUGUGGAUAAAUGAAUGUUAUAUGUAGUUUAAAUUCAAAUAUACUUUCUAUAUAUGAUUAUUCUAUUUCAGUCUGGUGUCAGGAAUAACAUUUUUAGUUCUCUGAGGACCUGGUCUUAAAUCAUAUUUCCUUCUCUUAUAUAGCUUUAAGAACAUGUACUUAAGUUGUUUUAUAUAUCAUUAGAACUAGGUAUUGUUUUCCAAUUGGAUAGAACUAUUGCCUUAGAACUGUUAAGACUCAGGAAUCUGGAAUAUCUUUCUCUCCAUUCUAAUUGGUUCUUCACUUACUUAUUUUCCCCAUUUUUAUAUUAUUGGAAGUAGACAUGGCAUAAAUUUAUAACUUAAAAAUAUUUUUUAUUUUGCUUUGCUCAGUAACCUUGAUGAAUUGUUCUUUGGCUUGAAUAAUUUUUUAGCUAAGAAAAUUAUGUGAAGAAGAUUUCCCUUAGCUAAAAUCUCAUGAUCCACUUGUGUUAAUUUUCAUAUAUAGUGUCACUUUGGCCUGGGAAGAGUUUUCUUUGAGACACCGUUCCCAUGUUUCUGGAUAUGAAAUGAAGCCUUAAUGAUAGAAGAAUCUUGGAACUGUGAAGGGGAUGUCAGUACUUAUGAUGGACCAGAUCAAUAAUCAAGAUUAUUUGAAUGAAAAGUCUCUAACUCCUACCAUCACAUCUCUCUACCAGCAAGCAAGCAGUUCCAUAGCAGAUACCAGUUAGGCAAUCAUCCUCUAGUUCAACUCAAUUCUGACACUAUCAACCUGGAAAUAGAAAUAAUCAUUACUUUGAGCUGCCAUGAGCUGAGCAGCUUUCUUCUUCCACAUCCUUCUGCCAUGAUGUUCUGCCUC